CCAUUGAUCGCCAUGGUUGAUUCUGCUGAUCUGGCU
This 36-nucleotide small RNA is filed under the name Meriones unguiculatus (Mongolian gerbil). RNAcentral's name for it is "7SK RNA (ENSMUGG00000004985.1)". Lineage: Eukaryota; Metazoa; Chordata; Mammalia; Rodentia; Muridae. The record is from RNAcentral.